Molecule: ribosomal RNA, 492 nt
Filed under: uncultured bacterium
Lineage: Bacteria
Description: partial 16S ribosomal RNA
Rfam family: Bacterial small subunit ribosomal RNA
Source: RNAcentral
AGUGAACGCUGGCGGUAGGCCUAACACAUGCAAGUCGAACGGCAGCACAGUAAGAGCUUGCUCUUACGGGUGGCGAGUGGCGGACGGGUGAGGAAUACAUCGGAAUCUACUUUUUCGUGGGGGAUAACGUAGGGAAACUUACGCUAAUACCGCAUACGACCUACGGGUGAAAGCAGGGGAUCUUCGGACCUUGCGCGAUUGAAUGAGCCGGUGUCGGAUUAGCUAGUUGGCGGGGUAAAGGCCCACCAAGGCGACGAUCCGUAGCUGGUCUGAGAGGAUGAUCAGCCACACUGGAACUGCGACACGGUCCAGACUCCUACGGGAGGCAGCAGUGGGGAAUAUUGGACAAUGGGCGCAAGCCUGAUCCAGCCAUACCGCGUGGGUGCAGAAGGCCUUCGGGUUGUAAAGCCCUUUUGUUGGGAAAGAAAAGCAGCAGGUUAAUACCCCGCUGUUCUGACGGUACCCAAAGAAUAAGCACCGGCUAACUUCGUG